GAUGAACGCUGGCGGCGUGCCUAAUACAUGCAAGUCGAGCGAACGGACGAGAAGCUUGCUUCUCUGAUGUUAGCGGCGGACGGGUGAGUAACACGUGGAUAACCUACCUAUAAGACUGGGAUAACUUCGGGAAACCGGAGCUAAUACCGGAUAAUAUUUUGAACCGCAUGGUUCAAAAGUGAAAGACGGUCUUGCUGUCACUUAUAGAUGGAUCCGCGCUGCAUUAGCUAGUUGGUAAGGUAACGGCUUACCAAGGCAACGAUGCAUAGCCGACCUGAGAGGUGAUCGGCCACACUGGAACUGAGACACGGUCCAGACUCCUACGGGAGGCAGCAGUGGGGAAUCUUCCGCAAUGGGCGAAAGCCUGACGGAGCAACGCCGCGUGAGUGAUGAAGGUCUUCGGAUCGUAAAACUCUGUUAUUAGGGAAGAACAUAUGUGUAAGUAACUGUGCACAUCUUGACGGUACCUAAUCAGAAAGCCACGGCUAACUACGUG
RNAcentral lists this ribosomal RNA (496 nucleotides) under uncultured bacterium. Its description in RNAcentral is "partial 16S ribosomal RNA". It matches the Rfam family "Bacterial small subunit ribosomal RNA", at positions 28 to 507 of the family's 1533-position model. The record is from RNAcentral.